This 465-nucleotide ribosomal RNA is filed under the name uncultured bacterium. RNAcentral's name for it is "bacterial SSU rRNA". It matches the Rfam family "Bacterial small subunit ribosomal RNA", at positions 28 to 492 of the family's 1533-position model. The record is from RNAcentral.
GACGAACGCUGGCGGCGUGCUUAAUACAUGCAAGUCAACUGAACUUUAGGUAGCAAUAUUUAAAGGGAGGUGGCGCACGGGUGAGUAACACGUAGGUAAUCUGCCUUCAGGACUGACAUAAUUCCGCGAAAGCGGGACUAAAAUCAGAUGAUGCAGCGGCUCGACAUCGAGACAGUUGUUAAACCUUCGGGGCCUGAAGAUGAGCCUGCGUCUGAUUAGGUAGUUGGCGGGGUAAAAGCCCACCAAGCCUGCGAUCAGUAGCUGGUCUGAGAGGAUGAUCAGCCACACUGGAACUGAGACGCGGUCCAGACUCCUACGGGAGGCAGCAGUAAGGAAUAUUGCUCAAUGGCCGAAAGGCUGAAGCAGCAACGCCGCGUGGAGGAUGAAAUACUUUAGUAUGUAAACUCCUGUAAGAGGGGAAAAAUAUACAGCUAUGCUGUGUUGAUUGUACCCUCAGAGUAAGCA